This 253-nucleotide ribosomal RNA is filed under the name uncultured bacterium. Its description in RNAcentral is "partial 16S ribosomal RNA". It matches the Rfam family "Bacterial small subunit ribosomal RNA", at positions 524 to 776 of the family's 1533-position model. The record is from RNAcentral.
UACGGAGGGUGCAAGCGUUAUCCGGAUUCACUGGGUUUAAAGGGUGCGUAGGCGGGCUUGUAAGUCAGUGGUGAAAUCUCAGAGCUUAACUCUGAAACUGCCAUUGAUACUAUAGGUCUUGAAUUUUCUGGAGGUUAGCGGAAUAUGUCAUGUAGCGGUGAAAUGCUUAGAUAUGACAUAGAACACCGAUUGCGAAGGCAGCUGACUACGGAUGAAUUGACGCUGAUGCACGAAAGCGUGGGGAUCAAACAGG